Molecule: ribosomal RNA, 494 nt
Filed under: uncultured bacterium
Lineage: Bacteria
Description: bacterial SSU rRNA
Rfam family: Bacterial small subunit ribosomal RNA
Source: RNAcentral
AAAUGAAUAGACGGGGACCCGCACAAGCAGCGGAGCAUGUGGUUUAAUUCGAAGCAACGCGAAGAACCUUACCAGAGCUUGACAUCCUCCUGACCGGGGAAGUAACGUUCCCCUUCUUUUCGGAGCAGGAGAGACAGGUGGUGCAUGGUUGUCGUCAGCUCGUGUCGUGAGAUGUUGGGUUAAGUCCCGCAACGAGCGCAACCCUUGCUGCUAGUUGCCAUCAUUAAGUUGGGCACUCUAGCAGGACUGCCGGGGAUAACCCGGAGGAAGGCGGGGAUGACGUCAAAUCAUCAUGCCCCUUAUGUUCUGGGCGACACACGUGCUACAAUGGCCGGCACAAAGAGCAGCGAAAGAGCGAUCUGAAGCGAAUCUCCAAAGCCGGUCCCAGUUCGGACUGCAGGCUGAAACCCGCCUGCACGAAGUCGGAGUUGCUAGUAAUCGCGGAUCAGCAUGCCGCGGUGAAUGCGUUCCCGGGUCUUGUACACACCGCCCGU